RNAcentral lists this ribosomal RNA (401 nucleotides) under Annelida sp. MM01275. RNAcentral describes it as "SSU rRNA". It matches the Rfam family "Eukaryotic small subunit ribosomal RNA", at positions 592 to 998 of the family's 1831-position model. The record is from RNAcentral. Lineage: Eukaryota; Metazoa; Annelida.
CAAUAGCGUAUAUUAAAGUUGUUGCAGUUAAAAAGCUCGUAGUUGGAUCUCGGGUCCAGGCUUGUGGUGCAGCUUAGGCUGCUUACUGCUCGUCCUGACCUACCUCCCGGUUUUCCCUUGGUGCUCUUAAGUGAGUGUCUUGGGUGGCCGGAACGUUUACUUUGAAAAAAUUAGAGUGCUCAAAGCAGGCUUUUGCCUGAAUAUUAGUGCAUGGAAUAAUUGAAUAGGACCUCGGUUCUAUUUUGUUGGUUUUCGGAACUCGAGGUAAUGAUUAAGAGGGACAGACGGGGGCAUUCGUAUUACGGUGUUAGAGGUGAAAUUCUUGGAUCGCCGUAAGACGAACUACUGCGAAAGCAUUUGCCAAGAAUGUUUUCAUUAGUCAAGAACGAAAGUCAGAGGUU